AAACCAUGCAUAGGACACUUCAAUAACAAAUAUUUAAGUCUUUCCCAUGCUUCAUUCAAGCUUUCAUAUUCAUCUUCUUGAAUGAAGUUAAGUCAUUUCGAAGCUU
Hibiscus syriacus is the source of this 106-nucleotide small nucleolar RNA. Lineage: Eukaryota; Viridiplantae; Streptophyta; Magnoliopsida; Malvales; Malvaceae. The record is from RefSeq and is a predicted model, not a curated record.